CACGUAGUUAGCCGUGGCUUAUUCCUCAGGUACCGUCAUCUGUUCGUCCCUGAGAAAAGAAGUUUACAACCCGAAAGCCUUCUUCCUUCACGCGGCGUUACUGGGUCAGGCUUGCGCCCAUUGCCCAAUAUUCCCCACUGCUGCCUCCCGUAGGAGUCUGGGCCGUGUCUCAGUCCCAAUGUGGCCGGCCAACCUCUCAGUCCGGCUACUGAUCGUCGCCUUGGUGGGCCGUUGCCCCGCCAACUAGCUAAUCAGACGCGAGCCCAUCUCAGAGCGAUAAAUCUUUGGCAGUCAGAGCCAUGUGGCCCAACUGCAUCAUGCGGUAUUAGCAGAUGUUUCCAUCUGUUACUUCCCCACUCCAAGGCAGGUUGCUCACGCGUUACUCACCCGUCCGCCACUAGGCACUUCCCCGCUACGUUCGUACCGUAAAACCGUUCCGUUUGGGGGUCGUCCCCGGUUCGUACGUUGCAUGUGUUAACGCACGCCGCCAGCGUUCAUCCUGACG
RNAcentral lists this ribosomal RNA (505 nucleotides) under uncultured Oscillospiraceae bacterium. RNAcentral describes it as "partial 16S ribosomal RNA". The record is from RNAcentral. Lineage: Bacteria; Bacillati; Bacillota; Clostridia; Eubacteriales; Oscillospiraceae.